RNAcentral lists this long non-coding RNA (202 nucleotides) under Prunus persica (peach). RNAcentral describes it as "long non-coding RNA (PPER_LNC008718)". Lineage: Eukaryota; Viridiplantae; Streptophyta; Magnoliopsida; Rosales; Rosaceae. The record is from RNAcentral.
AUCGAUUGGUCAAUGAAAUCGGACAAUUCAGGUUCGUACGAAGUUCGUUCUGAAAUGGGGUGGUUGGUGUGUUGUAUAGUUCUAGAGAUUGGAUUUCACUCAAAACCCACCAAAUGACUCCUCCCACAAUAUUGUGAUGUUCCCCAAGUUUUGGACUCAAUCCGAUAACGAUUGGUCCUUGAAAUCGGACAAUUCAGGUUCG